This 644-nucleotide ribosomal RNA is filed under the name uncultured Actinomycetes bacterium. RNAcentral's name for it is "bacterial SSU rRNA". It matches the Rfam family "Bacterial small subunit ribosomal RNA", at positions 232 to 885 of the family's 1533-position model. The record is from RNAcentral. Lineage: Bacteria; Bacillati; Actinomycetota; Actinomycetes.
CGCGGCCUAUCAGCUUGUUGGUGGGGUAACGGCCUACCAAGGCGUCGACGGGUAGCUGGUCUGAGAGGACGAUCAGCCACACUGGGACUGAGACACGGCCCAGACUCCUACGGGAGGCAGCAGUGGGGAAUCUUGCGCAAUGGGCGGAAGCCUGAUGCAGCGACGCCGCGUGAGGGAUGACGGCCUUCGGGUUGUAAACCUCUUUCAGCAGGGACGAAGCGUAAGUGACGGUACCUGCAGAAGAAGCACCGGCUAACUACGUGCCAGCAGCCGCGGUAAUACGUAGGGUGCGAGCGUUGUCCGGAAUUACUGGGCGUAAAGCGCCCGCAGGCGGCUCAGUAAGUCGGGUGUGAAAGCUCCAGGCUCAACCUGGAGAGGCCACCCGAUACUGCUGUGGCUAGAGUCCGGUAGGGGAGUGUGGAAUAUCCGGUGUAGCGGUGAAAUGCUUAGAUAUCGGAUGGAACACCAGCAGCGAAGGCGGUUCUCUGGGCCGGUACUGACGCUCAUGGGCGAAAGCGUGGGGAGCGAACAGGAUUAGAUACCCUGGUAGUCCACGCCGUAAACGUUGGGCACUAGGUGUGGGGACCUAUCGACGGUUUCCGUGCCGAAGCUAACGCAUUAAGUGCCCCGCCUGGGGAGUACGG